CCUGGUUGAUUUUGCUAGUAGUCAUAUGCUUGUCUCAAAGAUUAAGCCAUGCAUGUGUAAAUAUGAACUAAUUAUGAUUGUGAAACUACGAAUGGUUCAUUAAAUCAAUUAUAGUUUGUUUGAUGGUAUGUACUGCUUAGAUAAUCUAGUAAUUCUAGAGCUAAUACGUGCAACAAACCCUAACUUUUAGAAGGGAUACAGUUAUUAAAUAAAAGGUAGAUGCAGGCUUUACUUAUUAUUUCGAUGAUUCAUGAUAACUUGACGGAUCGUAUGGCCUUUGUAUCGAUGUUACAUCAUUCAAAUUUUUGCCCUAUCAACUUUUGAUGAUAGGAUAAUAGCCUUUUAUGGUGGUGAUCGAUGAUGGAGAAUUAGGGUUCAAUUUUGGAUAAAGAGCCUAAGAAACAGCUACCACAUCCAAGAAAGGUAGUAGAUGUGUAAAUUACCCAAUCUUAACAUGAAGAGGUAGUGACAAUAACUAAUAAUACCGAGCUAUAAGAGUCUAGUAAUUAGAAUGAGUAAAAUCUAAAUCCCUUAAUGAAGAUCCAUUUGAGGGCAAGUCUAGUGCUAGCAGCUGUGGUAAUUCCAACUCCAAUAGCAUAUAUUUAAAUUGUUGCAAUUAAAAAGCUCAUAGUUGGAACUAGGUUGGGUCAUUCGAUCUAUCUCAUGGUAAGCACUAAUCUACUCAUACCUACUGCCAGUGAUAUGCUUAUGGCUUUAACUGGUCGGGUCAUUCCUCUAGCACUAUUACUUUGAAAAAAUUAGAGUGCUCAAAGCAGGCUUACGCUUGUAUACAUUAGCAUGGGAUAACAUCAUAGGACUUGUAUUUCAUAGUUAGAGGUGAAAUAAUGAUUAAUCGAAUAGUCGAAGGCAUUUUUAUUUCUUAGUUAAAGGUGAAAUUCUUGGAUUUAUGAAAGAUAAACAACUAUGAAAGCAUUUGCGAAAAAUUUUUUCAUUAAUCAAGAAUGAAAAUUGGAGGCUCAAAGAUGAUCAAAUACUAUCCUAGUCUUAACCAUAAAUGAUGUUAACCAGGGAUCAGCGGAUGUUACUUUUAGGACUCUAUCAAUACCUUAUGAGAAAUCAAAGUCUUUAGGUUCCAAGGGAAGUAUAGUUGUUAGGCUAAAACUUAAAAGAAUUGAUGGAAGGGCACUACCAAGAAUGGAGCUUGUGGCUUAAUUUGACUCAACAUAAAGAAACUUACUAGGUCCAAACAUAGUGAGGAUUAAUAGACUGAUAGCUCUUUCUUGAUUCUAUGGGUGAUGGUGUAUGGCCAUUUUUAGUUAGUAGAGUGAUUUGUUUGGUUAAUUUUGUUAACGAAUGAGACCUCAGCCUACUAACUAGUUAUGCAAAAGUGAUCCUUCAAGGCUAAUGUCUUGGGGGACUAUGGCCACUUAGGCCAAGAAAGUUUAAGGCAAUAAUAGGUCUAUGAUGCCCUUAGAUGUUUUGGGCCGCACGUGCACUACACACAUGUAUUCAACAAGUCUAUAACCUUGGCCGACAAGCUUGGAUAAUCUUUAAAAUUUCAUCAUGAUGGGGAAAGAUCACUACAAUAGUUGGUCUUUAACAAGGAAUUCCUAAUAAGCAUGAAUCAUCAGCUCAUGUUGACUGUGUCCCUAUCCUUUGUGCACACUGCCCAUCACUCUUACUGAUUGAAUAGUUUUAUGAAGUGUUUAGAUUGUGGUGACAUGGAUGGUUCACUGCCCAUGAUGUCAUGAGAAAUCAUUGAACCUUAUCAUUUAGAGGAAUCAGAAGUCAUAACAAGGUUUCUAUAGGUGAACUUACAAAAU
Molecule: ribosomal RNA, 1784 nt
Filed under: Durio zibethinus
Lineage: Eukaryota; Viridiplantae; Streptophyta; Magnoliopsida; Malvales; Malvaceae
Description: SSU rRNA
Rfam family: Eukaryotic small subunit ribosomal RNA
Source: RNAcentral